UGAAGCUCUCCUUCAAGCUUUACCACACACACCAAGCACAUGGUCUUGAUCUCAAAAGAAGCAAAAGAAAAGCUACAAAGACUCUAAAGGCCCUAUAAAAACCAUCUUUGCUCUAAUCCAAACCCUAGUUUGGAAUUUAACAUGAGAAGGGGCAAGACUUACCUCUAAGCUUAGCUCCUUUCUUGCUCUCGAGAGGAAGAAGAUGAAGUUGCUUCACUUCAAUAGCUUCUUCUCCGCUUUCUUUUCUUCUUUUCCUUC
Molecule: long non-coding RNA, 258 nt
Filed under: Ananas comosus (pineapple)
Lineage: Eukaryota; Viridiplantae; Streptophyta; Magnoliopsida; Poales; Bromeliaceae
Description: long non-coding RNA (ACOM_LNC023463)
Source: RNAcentral